UAUCAAUAAGCGGAGGAAAAGAAACUAACAAGGAUUCCCCUAGUAACUGCGAGUGAAGCGGGAAAAGCUCAAAUUUAAAAUCUGGUGGCCUUUGGCCAUCCGAGUUGUAAUUUAGAGAAGCGUCUUCCGCGCUGGACCGUGCACAAGUCUCCUGGAAUGGAGCGUCAUAGAGGGUGAGAAUCCCGUCUUUGGCACGGCCCCCCAGGGCUUCUGUGAUGCGCUCUCGACGAGUCGAGUUGUUUGGGAAUGCAGCUCAAAAUGGGUGGUGAACUCCAUCUAAAGCUAAAUAUUGGCGAGAGACCGAUAGCGAACAAGUACCGUGAGGGAAAGAUGAAAAGCACUUUGGAAAGAGAGUGAAACAGUACGUGAAAUUGUUGAAAGGGAAACGCUUGAAGUCAGUCGCGUCGACCGGGACUCAGCCUUGCCUCGGCUUGGUGUACUUCUCGGCUGACGGGUCAGCAUCAAUUUYGAUCCUUGGAUAAUGGCAAGGGAAAGGUGGCACCUUUUCAGGUGUGUUAUAGUCCUCUGUCGCAUGCGAGGGUCAGGAUUGAGGAACUCAGCACGCACCUCCAGGUGUCGGGGCCUUUGGCUCACGUUUACGUGCUUAGGAUGCUGGCGUAAUGGCUUUAAACGACC
Molecule: ribosomal RNA, 636 nt
Filed under: Russula sp. r-05009
Lineage: Eukaryota; Fungi; Basidiomycota; Agaricomycetes; Russulales; Russulaceae
Description: LSU rRNA
Rfam family: Eukaryotic large subunit ribosomal RNA
Source: RNAcentral